This is a long non-coding RNA of Myotis brandtii (Brandt's bat), 149 nucleotides long. RefSeq lists it as uncharacterized. Lineage: Eukaryota; Metazoa; Chordata; Mammalia; Chiroptera; Vespertilionidae. The record is from RefSeq and is a predicted model, not a curated record. The transcript has 3 exons.
GGCUGAGGCUGGAGGAUCACUUGAGCCCAGAAGUUCUGGGCUGUAGUGCGAAUGUCCGCACUAAAUUCGGCACCAAUAUGGUGACCUCCCGGGAGCGGGGGACCACCAGGUUGCCUAAGGAGGAGAGCGGGGGGUAGGGGAGGAGGGGA